UGGUGCGGGUCACCCUGCUGCACCAGCUGUUCAGUCACUUAUCCUAACAGGCCCAUCUCUGGGAGAGCAGCAGGGUGAAAGGCCUGGACCAAGCCGGUGCAGCUAGGCCAGGGGCCAGCACUGCACCGCUCACGGGAGACGUCAGGACUAGGCACCGGCACGGCGUGUGAAGGCCACAAUCCCGGCAGGCCUGGCAGCGUGCCUGUGUGUCACGAUGAUGCAGCAAAGGGCGCUGUUUGCCCAGGAGGGGCCACACCGCAGGUCCCAAUCAUUUGCUGCCUUCUGGGGCAAGUUCUGCUGCACACCGGACCUUUGGCCUUUUGUCCUGCUGCCCUCGCACGGGGAGACCGCUCUCUGAAGACGCUGAUGGGAGGCCGUGGGGCUCAGAGGCUUCGCAGUGAGGCUGUGACCCCCAUCUGCACGGGGUGGGAGCCGGUGGGGCUGGGGCCGUGGAGGAGUUUUCCACCCCUGCUACCUGGAUUCUUUCACAUCUUCCUGUGGAGCUUCGCGGCUUUGUGCAGACGGGCUUUGGGUAGUGCUGCUAGGUUUAUUCCUACAGUUGGGCUUGCUAUUAUGAAAGUUGACUUUUAUAAAAUUCAUAUUUGUUUUUUACUGAUGUGCGAAAAUGAAAUUUGCCUGGCCACACUGAUUUUUCAAAUCCGGUAAUUUUAAGAACUCAUUCAUUCUGGCAAUUUUGGAUAUUACAUAUGUUUUAAAUUUAGUGCUGAUCACUCAGUGAACCCAUGCAGUGGCGUAUGGGAGCGCAGUGCGAUGACGACUCCUCAUCUGGGGAUGCACAGGGGCUCCAGCGUCAGCAGCCGUCAGUGCCUCGAGCUGCGAGUGAGCCUGUAGGAGGACAGGACCAUCCAGGGCAUUUGGUUGCUGUUCUUUUUAUCGCGGUUUAAUAGGAGAGCAAUUUGCCCUGCUAGCUGCUCUAAGUGCGCAGCUCGGUGGCGUUCAGUACGUUUGUCUCUGCCUCUCCCUCCCCAGCCUUCCCCACCGCCCUGCUCCUGUCCGCCCCUCGCCUUUUGCUCUAAUGUUUGGUUCAGGUUUUGGCAUCUGAGUCCACGGGUGCGUGAUGGAUCUGUGGCUCAUCCCCCCUGUGUGUUCUGGGUUUGGGUCAAGUUGUGUGGCUCACAUAGAAGUAGUUGGGUUUAUACAAGAGUCAUCUGGGCUCUGUGAUCACUGAUGAGAACAUUUUUAGCUUUUGCUUUAAUUUUUUAAAAGUUUUACAGCUACUCCAUCUUCCUAUAUUUUCCUCCUUGACUCAGUUUUGCCAAGUUACAGUUUUCUAUGGAGUUGUCCCAUUUUGCCCAAAGGCUCAACUAUUUUGAACAUUUAAAAUAAUUAACUUAGGGGCUGGGAUUUAGCUCAGUGGUUUGGUGGCCUGUG
Fukomys damarensis (Damara mole-rat) is the source of this 1392-nucleotide long non-coding RNA. RefSeq lists it as uncharacterized. NCBI's taxonomy places the organism in Eukaryota, Metazoa, Chordata, Mammalia, Rodentia, Bathyergidae. The transcript is spliced from 3 exons. The record is from RefSeq and is a predicted model, not a curated record.